Molecule: ribosomal RNA, 442 nt
Filed under: uncultured bacterium
Lineage: Bacteria
Description: partial 16S ribosomal RNA
Rfam family: Bacterial small subunit ribosomal RNA
Source: RNAcentral
CCUACGGGUGGCAGCAGUAGGGGAUCUUUCACAAUGGGCGAAAGCCUGAUGGAGCAACGCCGCGUGCAGGAUGAAGCCCUUCGGGUUGUAAACUGCUGUUAUAAGCGAGAAAUAUGAUGGUAACUUAUGAAUAAGGAUCGGCUAACUACGUGCCAGCAGCCGCGGUCAUACGUAGGAGCCGAGCAUUAUCCGGAGUGACUGGGUGUAAAGAGUUGCGUAGGUGGCAUAAUAAGUAGCUAGUGAAAUCUGGUGGCUCAACCAUUCAGACUAUUAGCUAAACUGUUAAGCUCGAGACCGUUAGGGGUAACUGGAAUUUCUAGUGUAGGAGUGAAAUCCGUAGAUAUUAGAAGGAACACCGAUAGCGUAGGCAGGUUGCUGGGACGGUUCUGACACUAAGGCACGAAAGCGUAGGGAGCAAACGGGAUUAGAUACCCGAGUAGUC